AGUCUAUUCUCUCUGAAGCCUGUUGCUUGACAGCUUUAUCUGCAUGAAAAAACCUUGGUAUUAGCCACCCCUUAUGCUAACCCAGACAUUCUUGUCUAUUAAUUCUAUGUCUUAGACAAUAAUAUAACUCAACCAAUUGUCAAUAGAAAAUCCUUGAAAUAGCCUAUGACCUGAAAGUCCCUACUCCCAGUUGUCCUGCCUAUCCAGACCAAGUCAAUGUAAAACUUACAUAUAUUGAUUGAUGUCUAAUGUCUCUCUAAAUUGCAUUAAAACUAAGUUGUAGCCUGAGCACCAUGAUGAUAUGUUCUUAGGAUCUCCAGAGGGAUAUGUAACAGGCCAUUACUGGCUCAUAUUUGGCUCAGAAUAAAACUCUUCAAAUAUUUUAAAGUGUUUGACUCUUUUCAUCAAUAACAACUUGACACGUGAACAUCUGGUGCCUCAGACAAAACUCAGGACACCGUAAAACUUGCCUGAACGUGAAGCUAAGUAGCAACAGAGGCUCACUGAAUGUCUCUCCAAUUUUGAGCUUCUUCUUCAGUGGAACUGAGUUUGACUCAUUUCCUCACAAUAAUUUGACACUUGAACAUGUGGGAACUCACAGAAACCUCAGGAUCCCCAAAAUGUUGCCUGAACCUGAAGCUAAGUUACCAGAAGGGGCCCAUUGAAGGCUUUUCUAACUUUAAGCUCCUCUGAUGGAACUGAUCUCAGAGAAAGAAGCACCAAGUCCUCGGGGGCAAGAAGUGAAGGCUACACAUUGAAGAAGUGGUAUGUUAUGUGACUUGAGACUUGAAGAAAUACAAGAUUGACAAGUGGACAAAUAGAGCACACUAUGGAUAAAUAAAACUGCAUAUCCUCCAC
This 858-nucleotide long non-coding RNA is filed under the name Papio anubis (olive baboon). RNAcentral describes it as "lncRNA (ENSPANG00000050730.1)". The record is from RNAcentral. Lineage: Eukaryota; Metazoa; Chordata; Mammalia; Primates; Cercopithecidae.